This 843-nucleotide ribosomal RNA is filed under the name Streptosporangium sp. Its description in RNAcentral is "bacterial SSU rRNA". It matches the Rfam family "Bacterial small subunit ribosomal RNA", at positions 55 to 917 of the family's 1533-position model. Lineage: Bacteria; Bacillati; Actinomycetota; Actinomycetes; Streptosporangiales; Streptosporangiaceae. The record is from RNAcentral.
AUGCAAGUCGAGCGGAAAGGCCCUUCGGGGUACUCGAGCGGCGAACGGGUGAGUAACACGUGAGUAACCUGCCCCUGACUCUGGGAUAAGCCCGGGAAACUGGGUCUAAUACCGGAUACGACACGCUUCCGCAUGGGAUGCGUGUGGAAAGUNUUUUCGGUCGGGGAUGGACUCGCGGCCUAUCAGCUUGUUGGUGGGGUAACGGCCUACCAAGGCGACGACGGGUAGCCGGCCUGAGAGGGCGACCGGCCACACUGGGACUGAGACACGGCCCAGACUCCUACGGGAGGCAGCAGUGGGGAAUAUUGCGCAAUGGGCGGAAGCCUGACGCAGCGACGCCGCGUGGGGGAUGACGGCCUUCGGGUUGUAAACCUCUUUCAGCAGGGACGAAGUUGACGUGUACCUGCAGAAGAAGCGCCGGCUAACUACGUGCCAGCAGCCGCGGUAAUACGUAGGGCGCAAGCGUUGUCCGGAAUUAUUGGGCGUAAAGAGCUCGUAGGUGGCUUGUCGCGUCGGGUGUGAAAGCUUGGGGCUUAACUCCAGGUCUGCAUUCGAUACGGGCUGGCUAGAGGUAGGCAGGGGAGAACGGAAUUCCUGGUGUAGCGGUGAAAUGCGCAGAUAUCAGGAGGAACACCGGUGGCGAAGGCGGUUCUCUGGGCCUUACCUGACGCUGAGGAGCGAAAGCGUGGGGAGCGAACAGGAUUAGAUACCCUGGUAGUCCACGCCGUAAACGUUGGGCGCUAGGUGUGGGGGCCUUCCACGGUUUCCGCGCCGUAGCUAACGCAUUAAGCGCCCCGCCUGGGGAGUACGGCCGCAAGGCUAAAACUCAAAGGAAUUGACGGG